This 87-nucleotide small RNA is filed under the name Homo sapiens (human). RNAcentral describes it as "nc023 non-coding RNA". Lineage: Eukaryota; Metazoa; Chordata; Mammalia; Primates; Hominidae. The record is from RNAcentral.
UGCACUCAACUGUGAGGAAGACACCAGCUGGGGGUCAGCUAGGCCCAUCUCUUCUCUGAGAACUGACCCCCUCACAGGGAUUGCCCU